Molecule: ribosomal RNA, 471 nt
Filed under: uncultured bacterium
Lineage: Bacteria
Description: bacterial SSU rRNA
Rfam family: Bacterial small subunit ribosomal RNA
Source: RNAcentral
UUGAACGCUGGCGGCAUGCCUAACACAUGCAAGUCGAACGAGGGUAGCAAUACUCUAGUGGCGGACGGGUGAGGAAUACAUAGGAAUUUGCCCUUAAGUGGGGGAUAACCCGGGGAAACCCGGAUUAAUACCGCAUGAACUCGUGAGAGCAAAGCAGGGGACCGCAAGGCCUUGCGCUUUUGGAGAAGCCUAUGUCGGAUUAGCUUGUUGGUGAGGUAAUGGCUCACCAAGGCUGCGAUCCGUAACUGGUCUGAGAGGAUGAUCAGUCACAUCGGAACUGAGACACGGUCCGAACUCCUACGGGAGGCAGCAGUGGGGAAUAUUGGACAAUGGGCGAAAGCCUGAUCCAGCAAUGCCGCGUGUGUGAAGAAGGCCUUCGGGUUGUAAAGCACUUUAGGCUGGAAAGAAAAAACUUGGAUUAAUACUUCAAGUCUUGACGGUACCAGCAGAAUAAGCACCGGCUAACUCUGU